Molecule: ribosomal RNA, 420 nt
Filed under: uncultured Dysgonomonas sp.
Lineage: Bacteria; Pseudomonadati; Bacteroidota; Bacteroidia; Bacteroidales; Dysgonomonadaceae
Description: bacterial SSU rRNA
Rfam family: Bacterial small subunit ribosomal RNA
Source: RNAcentral
GAGGAAUAUUGGUCAAUGGGCGAGAGCCUGAACCAGCCAAGUCGCGUGAAGGAAGACUGCCUUAUGGGUUGUAAACUUCUUUUAUACAGGAAUAAAAAGGCUACCGUGAAGGCCAUUACAAGUAUGUUAUGAUAAAGAAUGGGGUACCCCGUUCCAGCAGCCGCGGUAAUACGGAGGAUGCGAGCGUUAUCCGGAUUUAUUGGGUUUAAAGGGUGCGCAGGCGGGCUUUUAAGUCAGCGGUGAAAUCUGGACGCUUAACGUCCAAACUGCCGUUGAAACUGGGAGUCUUGAGUAUGGAUGAAGUAGGCGGAAUUCGUUGUGUAGCGGUGACAUGCAUAGAUAUAACGAGGAACUCCGAUUGCGUAGGCAGCUUACUAAGCCAUAACUGACGCUCAUGCACGAAAGCGUGGGGAUCAAACA